Ricinus communis (castor bean) is the source of this 803-nucleotide long non-coding RNA. RefSeq lists it as uncharacterized. The record is from RefSeq and is a predicted model, not a curated record. The transcript has 3 exons. Lineage: Eukaryota; Viridiplantae; Streptophyta; Magnoliopsida; Malpighiales; Euphorbiaceae.
AAAAUACAAAUGAAUUUGUAAGGGCAAUUUGAAGGAUGCUGCCAAGAAGUUUGUGGUUGAUUGGUUAUGUAGUGAUAAAACUGAGUCAAUAGUUAGCCUUUAGAGGUUGUUUCUGUGAACUUCAUACUGAACCCUUUUUCUUCUACUUUUUAUUGUUCAGCACUUUCGCCGUAUAUUUAUUUAGUUAUGUUCAGGAAUUCACGCCAAUUCUAAAUAGCAAAUUAGUUGAAAAAUGGGAAGUAUUCGACUUCGAGCCUCAAGGAAGUUUCUUCUGCCACUACGUGGAAGCAACUGCAAUUGAAGAAGUCAUUGACUUCAUUUUUUCAAACGUAGAAUCGUAGUGAAGUUAGGAAGGUUGUUGUCUCAGGCAACCUAAACUACGGAAGCCAUCAUUUUGCGCAAACUGGAAUCUGAGCCCUGAAGUUUUGCAGGUGUGCAAACUGUAUAGAACAAAAUAUCCUAAACCAAGGAGCUGCUGCAGCGGGCCAACUGAAGUCCCUUUUGGGAAGAGGAUUAACUUAUAGCUGCAGCCAUGAACUCAAUGUUAUUCGAAGCCGCUCUAGCAGGGAAUGUAAAUGUGCUACACCAGCUUUUUAGUGAAAAUCAAGAUGUUCUUGUAGAUGCAGUAAUGACAACAGAUUGUAAUCCUCUUCAUGCGGCGGCAAAACACGGUCACCUUGAGUUCGUAAAAGCGGUCUGAAGCCUUCUUUUGCUAGGAACUAGAUAAAGACGGCUUUAGCCCAAUACAUUUGGCCACAGAAAAUGGCACUAUUGAUAUUGUGAAAGAGCUUCUAGCGCAUGAC